RNAcentral lists this ribosomal RNA (395 nucleotides) under uncultured bacterium. Its description in RNAcentral is "partial 16S ribosomal RNA". It matches the Rfam family "Bacterial small subunit ribosomal RNA", at positions 523 to 918 of the family's 1533-position model. The record is from RNAcentral.
AUACGUAGGGUGCAAGCGUUAAUCGGAAUUACUGGGCGUAAAGCGUGCGCAGGCGGUUUUGUAAGACAGUGGUGAAAUCCCCGGGCUCAACCUGGGAACUGCCAUUGUGACUGCAAGGCUUGAGUGCGGCAGAGGGGGAUGGAAUUCCGCGUGUAGCAGUGAAAUGCGUAGAUAUGCGGAGGAACACCGAUGGCGAAGGCAAUCCCCUGGGCCUGCACUGACGCUCAUGCACGAAAGCGUGGGGAGCAAACAGGAUUAGAUACCCUGGUAGUCCACGCCCUAAACGAUGUCAACUGGUUGUUGGGGAUUUAUUUUCUCAGUAACGAAGCUAACGCGUGAAGUUGACCGCCUGGGGAGUACGGCCGCAAGGUUAAAACUUAAAGGAAUUGGCGGGG